GCCAACCAGCUAGCCUUACCCUAAAAACAACAACACAACAUUAAUUAAACCCCAAUAACAGGAACCCCCUAAAACAAACCAUUUUACCCCCCAAGUACGGGCGACCGAAAAGGAACCUCCAGAGCAAUAGAAAUAGUACCGCAAGGGAACGCUGAAAAAGAAAUGAAACAAACCAGUUUAAGCCCUAAAAAGCAGGGAUAUCCCC
Molecule: ribosomal RNA, 205 nt
Filed under: Trichiurus lepturus (Atlantic cutlassfish)
Lineage: Eukaryota; Metazoa; Chordata; Actinopteri; Scombriformes; Trichiuridae
Description: partial 16S ribosomal RNA
Source: RNAcentral